This 420-nucleotide ribosomal RNA is filed under the name Fusobacteriota bacterium. RNAcentral's name for it is "Fusobacteria bacterium partial 16S ribosomal RNA". It matches the Rfam family "Bacterial small subunit ribosomal RNA", at positions 355 to 776 of the family's 1533-position model. The record is from RNAcentral. Lineage: Bacteria; Fusobacteriati; Fusobacteriota.
UGGGGGAUAUUGCACAAUGGGCGAAAGCCUGAUGCAGCGACGCCGCGUGGGGGAUGAAGGCCUUCGGGUUGUAAACUUCUUUUGCUCUGAACAAGGCAUGCCUUUGGGGUGUGUUGAGUGUAGGGGUUGAUUAGCGCCGGCUAACUACGUGCCAGCAGCCGCGGUAAUACGUAGGGCGCGAGCGUUGUCCGGAAUUAUUGGGCGUAAAGGGCUUGUAGGUGGCUGGUUGCGUCUGUCGUGAAAGCUCAUGGCUUAACUGUGGGUUUGCGGUGGGUACGGACUGGCUUGAGUGCAGUAGGGGAGGCUGGAAUUCCUGGUGUAGCGGUGGAAUGCGCAGAUAUCAGGAGGAAUACCGGUGGCGAAGGCGGGUCUCUGGGCUGUUACUGACGCUGAGGAGCGAAAGCGUGAGGAGCGAACAGG